Molecule: small nuclear RNA, 139 nt
Filed under: Gorilla gorilla gorilla (western lowland gorilla)
Lineage: Eukaryota; Metazoa; Chordata; Mammalia; Primates; Hominidae
Description: U2 spliceosomal RNA (ENSGGOG00000035108.2)
Rfam family: U2 spliceosomal RNA
About the family: U2 is a small nuclear RNA (snRNA) component of the spliceosome (involved in pre-mRNA splicing). Complementary binding between U2 snRNA (in an area lying towards the 5' end but 3' to hairpin I) and the branchpoint sequence (BPS) of the intron results the bulging out of an unpaired adenosine, on the BPS, which initiates a nucleophilic attack at the intronic 5' splice site, thus starting the first of two transesterification reactions that mediate splicing.
Source: Rfam by way of RNAcentral
AUCGCUUCUCGGCCUUUUGGCUAAGAUCAAGUGUAGUAUCUGUUCUUAUCAGUUUAAUAACUGGAACAAACACUACUAAUAUAAUGUGAAAAGAUGCUCAAUUGCAUGUUCUCAUUCAUCAGAGAAAUGCAAAUUAAAA